CCCCACUCAGCGUCGCACCUGGAGAGUUUCGAGUACUCUACCAGUCUCGUCUACAGGAGGAAGAGUCAAGCAGUGGCCUACCCAUUCCAUUCCUAGCUUGGCAAAUGGCUAGCGAGUGGAUGACAAUCUGCUACAAGU
Ornithorhynchus anatinus (platypus) is the source of this 138-nucleotide small nucleolar RNA. The record is from RefSeq and is a predicted model, not a curated record. NCBI's taxonomy places the organism in Eukaryota, Metazoa, Chordata, Mammalia, Monotremata, Ornithorhynchidae.